This 343-nucleotide ribosomal RNA is filed under the name uncultured bacterium. Its description in RNAcentral is "bacterial SSU rRNA". It matches the Rfam family "Bacterial small subunit ribosomal RNA", at positions 369 to 709 of the family's 1533-position model. The record is from RNAcentral.
CAAUGCCCGCAAGGGUGACCCAGCAACGCCGCGUGGAGGAUGACUGUCGUAAGAUUGUAAACUCCUGUUAGAGGGGAAGAAUAGUACCGGUUGGACCGGUAUAUGACUGUACCCUCAGAGAAAGCCCCGGCUAACUACGUGCCAGCAGCCGCGGUAAUACGUAGGGGGCAAGCGUUGUCCGGAUUUACUGGGUGUAAAGGGCGCGCAGGCGGAAUGGAAAGUCAGUGGUGAAAUCCUACAGCUUAACUGUAGAACUGCCUUUGAUACUUUCAUUCUUGAGUUCGGGAGAGAGAGACGGAAUUCCAGGUGUAGUGGUGAAAUACGUAGAUAUCUGGAAGAACAC